GACGAACGCUGGCGGCGUGCUUAACACAUGCAAGUCGAACGCUGAAGACCUGGCUUUUGUUGGGUUGGAUGAGUGGCGAACGGGUGAGUAACACGUGAGUAACCUGCCCUCUUCUUUGGGAUAACGCCCGGAAACGGGUGCUAAUACUGGAUAUUCACUGAUCUUCGCAUGGGGGUUGGUGGAAAGGUUUGUUCUGGUGGGGGAUGGGCUCGCGGCCUAUCAGCUUGUUGGUGGGGUGAUGGCCUACCAAGGCUUUGACGGGUAGCCGGCCUGAGAGGGUGACCGGUCACAUUGGGACUGAGAUACGGCCCAGACUCCUACGGGAGGCAGCAGUGGGGAAUAUUGCACAAUGGGCGAAAGCCUGAUGCAGCGACGCCGCGUGAGGGAUGGAGGCCUUCGGGGUGUAAACCUCUUUCGCGCAUGGUCAAGCCGCAACUGUGGGUUGUGGUGAGGGUAGUGGGUAAAGAAGCGCCGGCUAACUACGUG
Molecule: ribosomal RNA, 486 nt
Filed under: uncultured bacterium
Lineage: Bacteria
Description: partial 16S ribosomal RNA
Rfam family: Bacterial small subunit ribosomal RNA
Source: RNAcentral